This 254-nucleotide ribosomal RNA is filed under the name uncultured bacterium. RNAcentral's name for it is "partial 16S ribosomal RNA". It matches the Rfam family "Bacterial small subunit ribosomal RNA", at positions 524 to 776 of the family's 1533-position model. The record is from RNAcentral.
UACGGGGGGAGCAAGCGUUGUUCGGAUUUACUGGGCGUAAAGGGCGCGUAGGCGGUCGUGACAAGUCACUUGUGAAAUCUCCGGGCUUAACUCGGAACGGUCAAGUGAUACUGUCGGACUAGAGUACAGAAGGGGCAACUGGAAUUCUCGGUGUAGCGGUGAAAUGCGCAGAUAUCAGGAAGAACACCCGUGGCUAAGGCGGCUCACUGGCCCGAUACUGACGCUGAGGCACGAAAGCGUGGGGAGCAAACAGG